RNAcentral lists this ribosomal RNA (465 nucleotides) under Vreelandella stevensii. RNAcentral's name for it is "partial 16S ribosomal RNA". It matches the Rfam family "Bacterial small subunit ribosomal RNA", at positions 338 to 795 of the family's 1533-position model. Lineage: Bacteria; Pseudomonadati; Pseudomonadota; Gammaproteobacteria; Oceanospirillales; Halomonadaceae. The record is from RNAcentral.
CCUACGGGAGGCUGCAGUGGGGAAUAUUGGACAAUGGGGGGAACCCUGAUCCAGCCAUGCCGCGUGUGUGAAGAAGGCCCUCGGGUUGUAAAGCACUUUCAGUGAGGAAGAACGCCUGGUGGUUAAUACCCAUCAGGAAAGACAUCACUCACAGAAGAAGCACCGGCUAACUCCGUGCCAGCAGCCGCGGUAAUACGGAGGGUGCGAGCGUUAAUCGGAAUUACUGGGCGUAAAGCGCGCGUAGGUGGCUUGAUAAGCCGGUUGUGAAAGCCCCGGGCUCAACCUGGGAACGGCAUCCGGAACUGUCAAGCUAGAGUGCAGGAGAGGAAGGUAGAAUUCCCGGUGUAGCGGUGAAAUGCGUAGAGAUCGGGAGGAAUACCAGUGGCGAAGGCGGCCUUCUGGACUGACACUGACACUGAGGUGCGAAAGCGUGGGUAGCAAACAGGAUUAGAUACCCUAGUAGUC